This 761-nucleotide ribosomal RNA is filed under the name uncultured Prevotella sp. RNAcentral describes it as "bacterial SSU rRNA". It matches the Rfam family "Bacterial small subunit ribosomal RNA", at positions 28 to 776 of the family's 1533-position model. Lineage: Bacteria; Pseudomonadati; Bacteroidota; Bacteroidia; Bacteroidales; Prevotellaceae. The record is from RNAcentral.
GAUGUACGCUGGGCUACAGCUUAACACAUGCAAGUCGAGGGGAAACGACGGGGAAGCUUGCUUCCCCCGGGCGUCGACCGGCGCACGGGUGAGUAACGCGUAUCCAACCUGCCUCUGACUGAGGGAUAACCCGUCGAAAGUCGGCCUAAUACCUCAUGGUAUCGUCUGCGGGCAUCCAACGACGAUUAAAGAUUUCAUCGGUCAGGGAUGGGGAUGCGUCUGAUUAGCUUGUUGGCGGGGUAACGGCCCAUCAAGGCUACGAUCAGUAGGGGUUCUGAGAGGAAGGUCCCCCACAUUGGAACUGAGACACGGUCCAAACUCCUACGGGAGGCAGCAGUGAGGAAUAUUGGUCAAUGGGCGAGAGCCUGAACCAGCCAAGUAGCGUGCAGGAAGACGGCCCUAUGGGUUGUAAACUGCUUUUAUGCGGGGAUAAAGUGAGGGACGUGUCCCUCAUUGCAGGUACCGCAUGAAUAAGGACCGGCUAAUUCCGUGCCAGCAGCCGCGGUAAUACGGAAGGUCCUGGCGUUAUCCGGAUUUAUUGGGUUUAAAGGGAGCGUAGGCCGUGGAUUAAGCGUGUUGUGAAAUGCAGGUGCUCAACGUCUGCACUGCAGCGCGAACUGGUCCACUUGAGUGUGCGCAACGCAGGCGGAAUUCGUCGUGUAGCGGUGAAAUGCUUAGAUAUGACGAAGAACUCCGAUUGCGAAGGCAGCUUGCGGGAGCACAACUGACGCUGAAGCUCGAAAGUGCGGGCAUCGAACAGG